This 466-nucleotide ribosomal RNA is filed under the name Vreelandella stevensii. Its description in RNAcentral is "partial 16S ribosomal RNA". It matches the Rfam family "Bacterial small subunit ribosomal RNA", at positions 338 to 795 of the family's 1533-position model. The record is from RNAcentral. Lineage: Bacteria; Pseudomonadati; Pseudomonadota; Gammaproteobacteria; Oceanospirillales; Halomonadaceae.
CCUACGGGGGGCAGCAGUGGGGAAUAUUGGACAAUGGGGGCAACCCUGAUCCAGCCAUGCCGCGUGUGUGAAGAAGGCCCUCGGGUUGUAAAGCACUUUCAGUGAGGAAGAACGCCUGGUGGUUAAUACCCAUCAGGAAAGACAUCACUCACAGAAGAAGCACCGGCUAACUCCGUGCCAGCAGCCGCGGUAAUACGGAGGGUGCGAGCGUUAAUCGGAAUUACUGGGCGUAAAGCGCGCGUAGGUGGCUUGAUAAGCCGGUUGUGAAAGCCCCGGGCUCAACCUGGGAACGGCAUCCGGAACUGUCAAGCUAGAGUGCAGGAGAGGAAGGUAGAAUUCCCGGUGUAGCGGUGAAAUGCGUAGAGAUCGGGAGGAAUACCAGUGGCGAAGGCGGCCUUCUGGACUGACACUGACACUGAGGUGCGAAAGCGUGGGUAGCAAACAGGAUUAGAUACCCCAGGUAGUC